This is a long non-coding RNA of Equus quagga, 4635 nucleotides long. RefSeq lists it as uncharacterized. The record is from RefSeq and is a predicted model, not a curated record. Lineage: Eukaryota; Metazoa; Chordata; Mammalia; Perissodactyla; Equidae. The transcript has 6 exons.
CCUCAUGUUCUUACUAUGUUACAAAGUGUAAAAACACCAAAUCCAAAGCAAGAGGCAAGGACACGGGUGCAUAACUGGGGAGCAGAGAAAAAGGAGAAGCAGGCGUUGCCAUGAUUUGAUUUCCUGAGAAGAGGGAAAGAUGUGUUGCUCCCCGGGAGUCCCUCAUCUGAGAAGCAUGGCUCUUCCUAACCUAAAACGCCCUCAUGACCUCAUAAGACGCCACUGAACUCAUGCGGGUGGCUGUUUAGUGAUUAAUCAUCCCAGGUGAUGGGGACCCCACACUACUACUAAUGACGUGAUGACAGAUGACGCUUAUUGGACGUGUCAGGCAUUGUUCUAGGACUUUACCUUUACUAAUUGAUUAAUCCUCCAACACAACUCUGUGAGGUCUGUGGGGCAGCUGGGGCAGCUCUGCUCUGGGCCACAGAUUGAGUUCGGGUCUACUCUACGUCUCUCCCAUUUUCCUUGGAUCAGCAGCUACCCAGGACAGUUCUUCUUGUGGUAGAGAACAGAAGCACAAGAGGCCAAGGCAAACUACAGAAGCACGUAUACAGUCUCUGCUCGUGUCCUGUCCACUGACAUUUUAUUGGCCAAAAUAAGUCAUAUGCCAAGUCCAGCAGCAGUGGAUGGGGAAAUAUACUCUGAUCUCUCCAGUGGGAGGCACUGUAGAGCAACCUGGCAAAGACUGGAUGCAUUCCAAGGUGGUAGAGAAGAAUCGGGAUCAUCCAUUCCCAUCACAAACUCCCUCCAUUUUGAUAUUGCCCUUCUCUUUCACAAAAAGGAGAAAAUAACUAUAUAAAAAGGCCAUUUCAAAGAUUUCUGCACAAAUUUUCUAAAAGCUAUUUCCAGAAGUUACCAGAAUUGGUAAGAUUUCAUCCCAUCUCCUCCCUGUAGGUCCAGUUUCAUGGGACUUGUGCAGGAGCACAGGGCCCCACCCUCAGAAAGACCCUGUGCAUGGUUUAACACUCUGCUGUCACCGUCGUGACGUUCUUAAUAAUUUUUGCACAAGGGGCCCAGCGUUUUCAUUUUGCACUGGCCCCCACAAAUUAUGUAGCCAGUCCUGCCUACACAUGCUAUAUUUAUUGUCCCAGAGAUGAGAAUUAAUGCUCAGAAUGGCAACCCUGAGACCUACAGAUUCCAGAAUGACCCAAAAUUCAAUUACAAUUACCAUGUUCUUUCAUUUGUUCAACAUGUUUAUUGGGUGCUGUUAUAAUUCUAGCUUUUAGAGGUAAAACCAUGAACUAACAAGCCCAGAACUCACGGAGUUUACAUCGUGCCAUACUUCCUGUGGUCCACCCACUGGACAGAUGACUUUUAUUUACAGCUACUAAGGGGAAAUCAGAUGAAGAGACUCAUAGCAGAGUGUGCCAGUGAUGACGGAUGUUGGGGCCACAGGCAACCCCAGGAGUCAGCGGAACUCUGUCGAUCCUGAUCUCUUCUCCUCAAGGAAGCAAAUCAGAAUGCAAGUGGCUGUGAUGACAUCAACCACUACAAGGGGAAGAAAAAGAAACAACAGGAAAUUCUGCGUUCAGCUAUUAACUGAUAAAUGAAGGAGGAACUGGCUUUUAAAGUCUUCAACUGAUUGGAUGAGGCCCACCCACACUAUGGAAGCUGAGUCCAGGCCAUGAGAAAUCCAAGAUGAAGGCAGAGAGCUGCUUCUUUGGAUGACCAAAGGGGGUUACCGAAGUGGAGAACAGAAUCUGUGGUGGCGUAUGGAACGGCCGUCAUUCAUUCACCCGACAAUGAUGUAUUGAAGGCUUAGUAUGGCAGGAACUAGGCUAACCAGGCACUGGUGGGUAAAACAGAGAGAUAAGCAGCCCUCCCAGAGCUUGCUGCCGAGUGAGAAGCAAACAUGAAACAAUCAAUCACGCCCAUAAGUGUAAAACUGCAGUCUCGGUAAGAGAUGCGGCAGCAAGAACACAGAGCUGGACCACCUAUAAGGGAUUUACCUUAAUGGGGAAGGUAGGCAGCUGUUGCUGGAGUUUAGAUCUGAAGGAUACGCUGGGCAAGAGGGAAGGAAGUGUGUUCCUGGCAGAGGGAGCAGCAUAAACACAGGGGCUGCAGUCAGAGAAGGGGGGAGUGUGCAAGACGACUCCAGAAAAAUGACCAGGCCAUGCAGGGUUUGGGUCUUCAUCCUAAAUGGGUCUUUAGGCUGUUAAAGUCCCUAUUACUUGACAAUUCCACUCUUAGGCAUUUACCCAAGAGAAAUGAAAACUUAUGUCCCCAAAAGACUUAACACGAAUAUUCAUAGCAGCCUUAAAAUAGCCUAAAACUGGAAAUAAUACAAAUGUCCAUCAACAAGAGAAUGGAUAAAUAAAUUACAGUAUAUUCAUACUCAAUUGAAAGGAAUGAACACACAACAACACAGAAUACUCUCAAAAAGAUUAUGCUGAGUAAAAUAGCCAGACAUAAAAACAUCUAUACUGUAUAUUUGUAUGAAAUCCAAAACCAGGCAAAACUAAUCUAUGGCGAUAAAAAUCAGAAAGUGGCUGGUUCUGGGUGUGGGGGCCAGGCAGGGGGUGACAUGACUGGAAAAGGGGAGCAAGGGAGCUUUCCGAGGUGAUAGCGAUGUUUUGUGUCUUCUUUGGGGGGGUGAUUUCAGAGGCACAUCCAAUUAUCAAAACUCCUCAAACUGGACUAAAGAUCUUGUUUUAGAUUUUUUAUAAUAUAUAUCAAAAAUUUUUUUUAAGUACAAUACACACAUUAAAGUGUUUUAAGCACAGGACAUCAGAUUUGCAUUGUGAAAAGAGCCCCUGGCUGUGGUCUGGAGAAGGAUAAGAAGAGGCCAGAAGGGAAGUGGGUAGACCAGUUCCUCUGCUUUAUGUGAAUUACCUAGAAGCCAGCAUACCCCUGAGCACCAAAGCGUAUCAGCCCGUCACCUGCCUUUAACACAGAAUUCAGACCUCUCCUUGCUGACCUCCUCUAGGAAUUGUGCAAAACAGUUGUCAAUGGACGGCAAAGGGAAUUUAGCUGGGAAACUGGGGCAAGAGACUAAAGAAACCACAGACAAAGGAGAGAAAUUGAACCAAACUUCUAUUACGUAGACUCUUUCAAGGCAGGAAUCUGUUGAAUGCUUUCUUACGUUCUCAUCCCUACAUCUACAGUUUUCUUCUGAAAUAAGAAGUCUAGCAGGCUGGAACUGGUCGAUGCAAUAGGAAGGCAAAAAUUACCUUUUGCCCAUAGUUGGAAUGAACAGAAUUUAAAUGAGAUAACAUAGAACCAGCUUAUGUCUCAAAAAAAAAAACCAAGCGGGCAGUAUUAUGCAAUGAAAGAGGGUGUGAGACAGGAGCACUGGAUUGUGGAAUGAUGUGUAGGAUCGUAAGGAUUUAUCCUAGACCCCAGUACAAAGUCAGAAAGGCACUUGCUGAAUAUUGAAAAGAAACACAGAAUCAAAGCAUUUUAGAGCUGGAAAGGAUUGUUAGAGGGCAUUUCAGCCUACACAUUUCAUAGAUGAAAUGCAGAGGUAAAAGGACCAAAUUACCCAGGAUUUGAUUAGCACUUUACCAAGUACUUCCACAUUUAUUGCCUCAUUAAAUCCUCAUAAAGUGCUGGCAAAUAGCAAUUAUUAAUUCUUCUAUUCAGAAGAAGAAAUUGGGGCUCAGAGAGUAAAGCAGAAAAGCAAAUUCCCUCUAAUGUUUGAGCUUCUCCUCUGCUUCCAGGGCAUGCCACUAGAUCACAGUUCCCAGCUCUCCUGCAUUUGGAGGGUGGGCCAACAGAGUUCCAGCCAAUGGAAUGUGGCAGAAGCCCGCUCCAGGGCUGGCCACUAAGACCUAGCAUACAAUCCUUUGUUUUCACAGCCUUAAAAUAGCGUAAAACUGGAAACAAUACAAGUGUCCAUCAACAAGAGAAUGGAUAAAUAAAUUGCAGUAUAGUCAUACUCAGUACUCCUCUACCUGCCAUCUAGAUGCAUAAGAUCCAGUAGAGCAGUACGAGGCCCCAAGGGAUGGUGAAGCCACCACUUGGCUGGAGCCUGGGUCCCUGAAUGACUCUGUGGAGCAGAGAUGUUUUCUCCCAUUCACUGACCUGAGUUAGACUGUGACGGGAGUGAGAAACAAACCUGUAUUGUGUCCAGGCACUGAGGUCUUGAUGGUGGUUGUACCAGUUAGCUUAACUAACAUAGAAAGGUUAAGGGACUCAGGCAAAAUCCAUAUAUUAAUUUGUUUCACAAAAAUCUAUUGAGCACCUAUUAUAUGUCUCAGAUACUGUGCUUGGCACUGGGUGUACAUCAAUGAAUUAAGACAGCUCUGGGCUGUGCCCUCCUGGGGUUUAUAUCUGGUGAGCUCACACAGUAUGGACAGGGCUAGGAUCCAAAUGAAAAUCUGCUAACUCUAAAUGUCUUCCGUUUUUCUACUUUGCAUACUUCCUCCCAAAUAAUCUGAAUCAAAAUGUAUGACAUUCCUCAAAGAUCACCUUGAAAAAUAGAAGAUUUGUCCUACCAUGUGAGUUACAGGAUGGAGAAAACGAGGUAGGGGUUGUUUGUUAAUCUUCUAUGUUCCUCAAGACCUAAGAAGGCCCAGCCCUGGUAAAAGUCGCUGUAUUGUAGAGCCUUAGUCAGUAGAAGGGACUGGAAAACCAUUGUUUUCAUAUAUUUAAAUUUUCAGUUAUUUAAGGAUUAAACUAAAACAUGAAUUUCAA